RNAcentral lists this long non-coding RNA (364 nucleotides) under Geospiza fortis (medium ground-finch). Its description in RNAcentral is "lncRNA (ENSGFOG00000012896.1)". Lineage: Eukaryota; Metazoa; Chordata; Aves; Passeriformes; Thraupidae. The record is from RNAcentral.
AUUUAUUUAAUUUACACUACUGACCCUCCAGCCUGCCAUUCCUAGCCUUCCAAAAUUCCAUUGGUUUUCCUUGCCUUGUUUGCAGGAGAUUUGAGGCCAGUUUCGAUGCCUACUGAGUACAGCUGGAUUGGGGAGCCCAAAGAACAGAACAUGUACAAGAGGGGAAGCAGAGACUCUGAGAACUCGCUGCUGCGCUACCUGAGCGACGACAAGAUCCUGGUGAUCCAGGAGGAGCCCCUGGCGCAGAAGGACAGCAAAAGGGACACGGCCAGGAGGUCCAGGAGGAAGGGCAAAGGGCCAGGGACCCCUGGCUUCCCCAUCAGCCCCUCGGUGCUGGCCUCCACCAUGAGCAUCAGGAUGGAGC